Molecule: ribosomal RNA, 497 nt
Filed under: uncultured bacterium
Lineage: Bacteria
Description: partial 16S ribosomal RNA
Rfam family: Bacterial small subunit ribosomal RNA
Source: RNAcentral
GACGAACGCUGGCGGCGUGCCUAAUACAUGCAAGUAGAACGCUGAAGGAAGGAGCUUGCUCUUUCUGGAUGAGUUGCGAACGGGUGAGUAACGCGUAGGUAACCUGCCUGGUAGCGGGGGAUAACUAUUGGAAACGAUAGCUAAUACCGCAUAAAAUUGAUUAUUGCAUGAUAGUCAAUUAAAAGGUGCAACUGCACCACUACCAGAUGGACCUGCGUUGUAUUAGCUAGUUGGUGGGGUAACGGCUCACCAAGGCGAGGAUACAUAGCCGACCUGAGAGGGUGGUCGGCCACACUGGGACGGAGACACGGCCCAGACUCCUACGGGAGGCAGCAGUAGGGAUUCUUCGGCAAUGGACGGAAGUCUGACCGAGCAACGCCGCGUGAGUGAAGAAGGUUUUCGGAUCGGAAAGCUCGGUUGUAAGAGAAGAACGAGUGUGAGAGUGGAAAGUUCACACUGUGACGGUAUCUUACCAGAAAGGGACGGCUAACUACGUG